AACCAGCACCUCAAGUGGUCAGGAGGAUUAUUGGGCCUAAAGCAUCCGUAGCCGGCUCUGUAAGUUUUCGGUUAAAUCCAUGUGCUCAACGCAUGGGCUGCCGAAAAUACUGCACAGCUAGGGAGUGGGAGAGGUAGACGGUACUCGAUAGGAAGGGGUAAAAUCCUUUGAUCUAUUGAUGACCACCUGUGGCGAAGGCGGUCUACCAGAACACGUUCGACGGUGAGGGAUGAAAGCUGGGGGAGCAAACCGG
RNAcentral lists this ribosomal RNA (253 nucleotides) under uncultured archaeon. RNAcentral's name for it is "partial 16S ribosomal RNA". It matches the Rfam family "Archaeal small subunit ribosomal RNA", at positions 474 to 727 of the family's 1478-position model. The record is from RNAcentral.